GAUGAACGCUGGCGGCGCGCCUAACACAUGCAAGUCGAACGGUUAAAGCAUCUUCGGAUGUGCAUAAAGUGGCGAACGGCUGAGUAACACGUGGGCAACCUGCCCCUCGCAUCGGGACAGCCUCGGGAAACCGUGGUUAAUACCGGAUACUCCGCCUCCCCCGCAUGGGGGAGGCGGGAAAGCCCAGACGGCGAGGGAUGGGCCCGCGGCCUGUUAGCUUGUUGGUGGGGCAGUGGCCCACCAAGGCGAUGAUGGGUAGCCGGGUUGAGAGACCGACCGGCCAGAUUGGGACUGAGACACGGCCCAGACUCCUACGGGAGGCAGCAGUGGGGAAUCUUGCACAAUGGGCGAAAGCCUGAUGCAGCGACGCCGCGUGCGGGACGAAGGCCUUCGGGUCGUAAACCGCUUUCAGCAGGGACGAGGCCGCAAGGGACGGUACCG
RNAcentral lists this ribosomal RNA (441 nucleotides) under Olsenella profusa. Its description in RNAcentral is "bacterial SSU rRNA". It matches the Rfam family "Bacterial small subunit ribosomal RNA", at positions 28 to 480 of the family's 1533-position model. The record is from RNAcentral. Lineage: Bacteria; Bacillati; Actinomycetota; Coriobacteriia; Coriobacteriales; Atopobiaceae.